GGGACUAAGUACCACCUAACUUGCACUUAACUAAAUUAACGGUAUCGAUAUUAAAUCAGGUGUGUUCUCUAUACAAACAAACGUCUUUGGGUCUACCCCAUUCUUGCACCCACACCUUAAUUAUUUUUGUAGCUUUAUAUCGUAAUUUGGUAUUUGGAUAUAUGUCGUCGUGGCUGUAAUUCAUCAACCAAGUCAUCAACAGUGCGUUUUCUUGUCAACGCUAAAAUAGCAGUGCAAGUGAGAAAAUUUUCUACUUCCAAAUUUGUCAACUCUUUCGUGCACUUUGGGGUGGCAUAUGGCUUCAGCCUCUGAGAAAACAGUUGAAUAACUUGACUUUAGACUACGUGAUGAUGACGACUGGCGUGAUUUACAUUGAGUCAAAAAUACUGCUCAUACUUGUGAUAAACAAAGAAAGCAAAUUUGAAAUUUCGUGUAAAACUGUCAAGGGAUUCUGUUUAGCACCCCACGUCGGCACUUAGCUGUCAUCUGUCAAUUUGGCAUUUGGCUAUAAUCUCGGAUCGGUCGGUAUGAAACUGUAUAUCCUUUACGAAUUUCGAUCUUUUUUCUUCAUUCUUCUAUUACUCAGUAGUAUAUAAGUCCAGGUCAAAUUCGCAUAUGUGAAGUUAAUCUGUAGGACACAUGAAGUCAUUACAGGAAAAUACGACCGACAAAGAAGAUUAACAUAAUAACUUGUUACUGUUAGCACUGUUAGUAUUCAAAGAUGUAUUAAUCAGGUGUUCAGUUCAACAACAUCACUAUGGAGGAGACUCCUCAUAUCCUCGUUAGCUGGUCCUGCAGUUUUCAGGUACAAGCUAGUGACAAUUCUCCAGGUAUUAAAAGCAAACAUGCUAUCUGGGGAUUGAGUCUUUGUCAGAUGGCAUGGUUUGCCACCAGUCAAUGUUGAACAAAUUGGCCGGUAGCUGGGAAUUUAUUCCUAACUUUGAAAUUUGACAAGCAGGCUGUUUCUAUCUUUGACUAAGCUAAAAAGAAGUCAUUGUAUCAUCAGCCCUUACUGAUGAAACUUUUUUUUUUGAAUCCCACAACUAUGACCGCCAUCUAGCCUUUCCAGUCAAUGAGCUUCGAAAAUUAGAAGCUGUCUGAAAAAAGAUUGAAAACGACGAGGGCUCAAGACUUGUUCUCUGAGAUGAUCCCCAUUACUGACACCAAACUCCUUGCUUUGUUGAUCAAAGAAUUGGUUCUGAGUGGAAAACUCACUGAGAUGGAAGCACAUUUAUGAUUCUUGUCUUACCCUACCAUCUGAGCAACUGUUCACCUCACGGGAGAAUCUCUUGAAAGAGAGCCUCAACAUAAAGAUCAAGGAACCGACACCAUCAACAAGUACAUCAUAACAUGUCAUGCAAGUCGUUAAAGAUCCACACUGCGUACUCCAACUUGAUGCCUGCUUCACUCUGCGUAACACCAACUUGAUCCCUGCCAUUGAGCAAUAUGAGCAUCUUAUGGAAAAACGCAUCUUGAGCAUCUCACGUCAAAAGCGGGUCCGUUCUUCACGCCGUCCACCUCACGUCAUCUUUGCUCUGCAGCCCAUCGCCGCCGUUAACCGCAACAAUUUCUUGCCUGCUAUUCUCCCCCUGAUUCUGAAUGCCACCGAGAUCCGUGUAUCCGCUAUCGUUCACCUUGUUCUGCCGUUCUGCUUUCAUCCCCCUUUCCUCGAGCAUCUUUCCCCGUGUCUGUUAUUUGUUUAUAAAAAUACAAUCAUUUGCUAACAAA
This 1728-nucleotide long non-coding RNA is filed under the name Daphnia pulex (common water flea). RNAcentral describes it as "uncharacterized LOC124208767, transcript variant X1". Lineage: Eukaryota; Metazoa; Arthropoda; Branchiopoda; Diplostraca; Daphniidae. The record is from RNAcentral.